UAGGGAAUCUUCCGCAAUGGACGAAAGUCUGACGGAGCAACGCCGCGUGAGUGAUGAAGGUUUUCGGAUCGUAAAGCUCUGUUGUUAGGGAAGAACAAGUACCGUUCGAAUAGGGCGGCACCUUGACGGUACCUAACCAGAAAGCCACGGCUAACUACGUGCCAGCAGCCGCGGUAAUACGUAGGUGGCAAGCGUUGUCCGGAAUUAUUGGGCGUAAAGGGCUCGCAGGCGGUUUGUUAAGUCUGAGGUGAAAGCCCCCGGCUCAACCGGGGAGGGUCAUUGGAAACUGGGGAACUUGAGUGCAGAAGAGGAGAGUGGAAUUCCACGUGUAGCGGUGAAAUGCGUAGAGAUGUGGAGGAACACCAGUGGCGAAGGCGACUCUCUGGUCUGUAACUGACGCUGAGGGACGAAAGCGUGGGGAGCGAACA
RNAcentral lists this ribosomal RNA (428 nucleotides) under uncultured prokaryote. RNAcentral's name for it is "bacterial SSU rRNA". It matches the Rfam family "Bacterial small subunit ribosomal RNA", at positions 355 to 774 of the family's 1533-position model. The record is from RNAcentral.